GCGGGAAUGGCGGAAUUGGUAGACGCACUGGAUUUAGGUUCCAGCGCCGCGAGGCGUGAGAGUUCGAGUCUCUCUUUCCGCACCA
RNAcentral lists this transfer RNA (85 nucleotides) under Rheinheimera baltica. Its description in RNAcentral is "tRNA-Leu". It matches the Rfam family "tRNA". From Rfam's summary of the family: Transfer RNA (tRNA) molecules are approximately 80 nucleotides in length. Their secondary structure includes four short double-helical elements and three loops (D, anti-codon, and T loops). Further hydrogen bonds mediate the characteristic L-shaped molecular structure. tRNAs have two regions of fundamental functional importance: the anti-codon, which is responsible for specific mRNA codon recognition, and the 3' end, to which the tRNAs corresponding amino acid is attached (by aminoacyl-tRNA synthetases). tRNAs cope with the degeneracy of the genetic code in two manners: having more than one tRNA (with a specific anti-codon) for a particular amino acid; and 'wobble' base-pairing, i.e. permitting non-standard base-pairing at the 3rd anti-codon position. RNAcentral also lists the same sequence under 16 other names. Lineage: Bacteria; Pseudomonadati; Pseudomonadota; Gammaproteobacteria; Chromatiales; Chromatiaceae. The record is from RNAcentral.